GUCGUAAGAAAAUAGUCCAUCAUAGCCGACCAAGAAGAUGUUCAAACAACCAAGAGAUAUGUUAGUCCAAAGACAGAAUGAGGAGCGAACUUUUACCACUUAUUUGUGUAGAAGAGUAUGGUACCAGGGGUACAGCUGACUCUGAUUCCCGGCUUCUUCUAAUGAAAAAAGGCAGAUGAGGCACUGGAAUCCGAAUGUAAUCAAAAAUGCCGUGGUAUGAGGAUUGACCUGCAAUGCAUGGAAAUCAUCUAACACAACUGCAAUGCCUACCUUGGAAAAAUGAGUGCAAGAUGGAAACAAAGCGUUCAGUGGAACAUCUUGUUAUCUCAAAUAUUUGAUGACUUACAUACUGAUGUGAAGUUGAAGAUAAAAGUCAUCUGUUGGUCUGUGAUUAUUAAAUAAAUCCGAACAUAUAUUUUAAAAGGGUAAUAUGGUAAAGGAUAUAUCUACGCUUAAAGUGGUUUUCCUAUAUUAUGGAGGGAAGAUAACUACAAAAACAGAAACAGAUGGCAUCGGCAGACCAAAUAAAGGAGAACUAUUAUGUUCAGUUCAAUUUUUAAGACUUCAGAAAAUCCGUUAAUAGGGCACAUCCUUGCAAAUGCCAUAUUGUAAACUGGGCUCUUUAAAAAGUGAAAAGGUGAAAGUGGUCUAGAGGAUAAGCCUCAAAUUCAAGGUUGUGAGUUCAAGACC
This is a long non-coding RNA of Mya arenaria, 690 nucleotides long. RefSeq lists it as uncharacterized. NCBI's taxonomy places the organism in Eukaryota, Metazoa, Mollusca, Bivalvia, Myida, Myidae. The record is from RefSeq and is a predicted model, not a curated record. The transcript is spliced from 3 exons.